RNAcentral lists this transfer RNA (75 nucleotides) under Terriglobia bacterium. RNAcentral's name for it is "tRNA-Met". It matches the Rfam family "tRNA". From Rfam's summary of the family: Transfer RNA (tRNA) molecules are approximately 80 nucleotides in length. Their secondary structure includes four short double-helical elements and three loops (D, anti-codon, and T loops). Further hydrogen bonds mediate the characteristic L-shaped molecular structure. tRNAs have two regions of fundamental functional importance: the anti-codon, which is responsible for specific mRNA codon recognition, and the 3' end, to which the tRNAs corresponding amino acid is attached (by aminoacyl-tRNA synthetases). tRNAs cope with the degeneracy of the genetic code in two manners: having more than one tRNA (with a specific anti-codon) for a particular amino acid; and 'wobble' base-pairing, i.e. permitting non-standard base-pairing at the 3rd anti-codon position. The record is from RNAcentral. Lineage: Bacteria; Pseudomonadati; Acidobacteriota; Terriglobia.
GGCGGGGUAGCUCAGUGGCAGAGCGAGGGUCUCAUAAUCCCUAGGUCGGGAGUUCGAUCCUCCCCCCCGCUACCA